CGACCUUCCGCCUCUGCCGACAAGAUGGAAGCUGGGCUGGGUCGCGUCCGGGAACCGGCGCUGUGAGGCAGGACAUGGGGAGGGGCACAGAACCCCGCAGCCCUGCUGAAGCAGCCGGCCUGUGUCUCGGUCUGUAGGACCCAGGAGUCUGGGCUGCAACUUUGGGAUGACUUGGAGCCCAGUCCACCAGGAGGAAAAUGCUACCCGUGCGGGGUCCUGACACCUGCAGAGGGGGCUUUGCCAUGAUUUCUUCUGGAUGUUUCUAUAAGGAGGUGAUCCUUACUGAUAUGCAUACUCGCCUCAGCGAAGCAUUGAGAAAAGGAAAAACAGAGGACAACGAUUCGGGUCACUUGUCAAAACAACCCAGUUGUACCUCUAUUAAGAAACCGAAACAAGAGGAGUCUCUGUACCUGACUAAUUGCCGUACCAACCUUAAUGAAAUGGAAACUCAUCUAAGCAAAGACCAGAGAAAAAGAAAAAUAGAGGAAAACUCAUCAGAACCAAGUUUUACUUGUGUUAAGAAAGCGAAAUGAGAUGACUUUAAGGACCUGUGCAGGUAUCCAAACCUGGAAGCCUUUGCUUUUGAUGUCAGGCUUGUUUUUGACAACUGUGAAGCAUUUAAUCAAGACGAUUCUGAUACAGGCAGAGCUGGCCACAGUAUGAGGAAGUAUUUUGAGAAAAAGUGGACAGAUACUCUCAAAGUGAGCCGAAGCUACAAUACUCUCUUUUCUCCUUUUCAAUAAGGAGGAAUAAGACCAGCAAUGUCAACUGUAUUUUACAUAAAUGUGCAAGGCACACGCAUAAUGACUUUUUUUCUUAGUAAAAGUAUCACACACAAAAACAAUAUCAGAAGAAUGAAACCAUUUUUAAAGGCUUCACUCCUGCAACAACCAAGGCCCUUGGUUAUUGGUUUGUGUGAUUUAUCAGCUAAUUUAGGUAGAACAGGGAAGCACACCCAAAGAAUUUUCAAAGGUAAGGGUGUUAUAGAGUAACAGCAAUUAAAAUAUAUCAAAUCGCACUGAAUAUUCAACACCAGAGCUCUAAUGUGGGAGAUGGUUCUCCUUUCCCUCUCAAUAAAUGUCUACUUUUCCUUUU
This is a long non-coding RNA of Manis pentadactyla (Chinese pangolin), 1095 nucleotides long. RefSeq lists it as uncharacterized. The transcript has 5 exons. The record is from RefSeq and is a predicted model, not a curated record. Lineage: Eukaryota; Metazoa; Chordata; Mammalia; Pholidota; Manidae.